RNAcentral lists this ribosomal RNA (208 nucleotides) under uncultured bacterium. RNAcentral describes it as "partial 16S ribosomal RNA". It matches the Rfam family "Bacterial small subunit ribosomal RNA", at positions 524 to 733 of the family's 1533-position model. The record is from RNAcentral.
UACAGAGGUCUCAACCGUUGUUCGGAUUCAUUGGGCGUAAAGGGUGCGUAGGCGGUCGUGCAAGUCGGAUGUGAAAUCUCCACGCUUAACGUGGAGGGGCCAUUCGAAACUGCCGUGACUCGAGUCCGGUAGGGGAGUGUGGAAUUCCGUGGUGAGCGGUGAAUGCGCAGAUAUCGGAGGAAGAACCAACAGCGAGGAAGGCGCUGGC